AGAGUUUGAUCCUGGCUCAGGAUGAACGCUGGCGGCGUGCUUAACACAUGCAAGUCGAACGAAGCACUUUAUUAUGAUUUCUUCGGAAUGACGAUUUAGUGACUGAGUGGCGGACGGGUGAGUAACGCGUGGGUAACCUGCCUUAUACAGGGGGGAUAACAGUUAGAAAUGACUGCUAAUACCGCAUAAGCGCACAGGAUUGCAUGAUCUGGUGUGAAAAACUCCGGUGGUAUAAGAUGGA
This 241-nucleotide ribosomal RNA is filed under the name uncultured bacterium. RNAcentral describes it as "partial 16S ribosomal RNA". It matches the Rfam family "Bacterial small subunit ribosomal RNA", at positions 8 to 229 of the family's 1533-position model. The record is from RNAcentral.